This 581-nucleotide ribosomal RNA is filed under the name uncultured Prevotella sp. RNAcentral describes it as "bacterial SSU rRNA". It matches the Rfam family "Bacterial small subunit ribosomal RNA", at positions 900 to 1490 of the family's 1533-position model. Lineage: Bacteria; Pseudomonadati; Bacteroidota; Bacteroidia; Bacteroidales; Prevotellaceae. The record is from RNAcentral.
CUCAAAGGAAUGACGGGGGCCCGCACAAGCGGAGGAACAUGUGGUUUAAUUCGAUGAUACGCGAGGAACCUUACCCGGGCUUGAAUUGCAGACUAAUGCGGCGGAGACGCCGCAGUCCUUCGGGAAGUCUGUGAAGGUGCUGCAUGGUUGUCGUCAGCUCGUGCCGUGAGGUGUCGGCUCAAGUGCCAUAACGAGCGCAACCCCUGUCUCCUGUUGCCAUCAGGUAAAGCUGGGCACACUGGAGAGACUGCCGCCGUAAGGUGCGAGGAAGGUGGGGAUGACGUCAAAUCAGCACGGCCCUUACGUCCGGGGCUACACACGUGUUACAAUGGCCGGUACAGAAGGAUGGUGCCCCGCAAGGUGCAUCGAACCUGAAAAACCGGUCCCAGUUCGGACUGGGGUCUGCAACCCGACCCCACGAAGCUGGAUUCGCUAGUAAUCGCGCAUCAGCCAUGACGCGGUGAAUACGUUCCCGGGCCUUGUACACACCGCCCGUCAAGCCAUGAAAGCCGGGAGUGCCUGAAGUCCGUGACCUAAGAGGAUCGGCCUAGGGCAAAAUCGGUAAUUGGGGCUAAGUCGUA